UAGGAAAGAAGAAUCAGAAUUUCUUCAUUUUUUUGGAUGCUUCUAUUGAUUAGUCGGAGGUCUUCAACAGGGUUGUUUCUUUUUUCUGCAUUUUGCUAACCAAAGAUGAGCUUGUAAUCACCAUGCAUGGAUGCACUGUUGCUAUAUGUGAUAAAGUGAAGCAGUCAGUAGAAGGUGCAAUUCAGGCUGUCAUUGAGUUCAUUACAAGAAGAGGCAAUGAGUUGAAUGAAACUAAUGUUUCAAGGUUCUGGCUGAGCAUUGGCACAUUAUGUAUUUUAGUUUGCAAAGACUUGAGGGGAGUGCUAAUGGACAAUGGUGGUUAGAUGCUAUCAGGAAGGCCCUCAAAUAAGGAACGACAUUUGAAUGUGUAGGAUCUAGGCAGUUGGCUAGUUUGCUUAUAUCCGCAGGG
This is a long non-coding RNA of Magnolia sinica, 409 nucleotides long. RefSeq lists it as uncharacterized. NCBI's taxonomy places the organism in Eukaryota, Viridiplantae, Streptophyta, Magnoliopsida, Magnoliales, Magnoliaceae. The record is from RefSeq and is a predicted model, not a curated record. The transcript has 4 exons.